UGCGAACGGCUCAUUAAAUCNGUUAUCGUUUAUUUGAUAGUACCUUACUACUUGGAUAACCGUGGUAAUUCUAGAGCUAAUACAUGCUAAAAGUCCCAACCUACGGAAGGGACGUAUUUAUUARAUAAAAAACCAAUGCCUUCGGGCUUCUUGGUGAUUCAUGAUAACUUUACGAAUCGUAUGGCCUUGUGCCGGCGAUGGUUCAUUCAAAUUUCUGCCCUAUCAACUUUCSAUGGUAGGAUAGUGGCCUACCAUGGUUUCAACGGGUAACGGGGAAUUAGGGUUCGAUUCCGGAGAGGGAGCCUGAGAAACGGCUACCACAUCCAAGGAAGGCAGCAGGCGCGCAAAUUACCCAAUCCCGACACGGGGAGGUAGUGACAAUAAAUACUGAUACAGGGCCCAUUUGGGUCUUGUAAUUGGAAUGAGUACAAUUUAAAGCCUUUAACGAGGAACAAUUGGAGGGCAAGUCUGGUGCCAGCAGCCGCGGUAAUUCCAGCUCCAAUAGCGUAUAUUAAAGUUGUUGCAGUUAAAAAGCUCGUAGUUGAACCUUGGGUCUGGGUGACCGGUCUGCCUCACCGCAUGUACUGGAAACCCGGAUCUUUCCUUCUGGAGAACCGCAUGCCCUUCACUGGGUGUGUUGGGGAACCAGGACUUUUACUUUGAAAAAAUUAGAGUGUUCAAAGCAGGCAUUUGCUCGAAUACAUUAGCAUGGAAUAAUAGAAUAGGACGUGCGGUUCUAUUUUGUUGGUUUCUAAGACCGCCGUAAUGAUUAAUAGGGAUAGUCGGGGGCAUCCGUAUUCGAUUGUCAGAGGUGAAAUUCUUGGAUUUUUCGAAGACGAAYUANUGCGAAAGCAUUUSCCAAGGAUGUUUUCAUUAAUCAGGAACGAAAGUUGAGGGAUCGAAGACGAUCAGAUACCGUCGUAGUCUCAACCAUAAACUAUGCCGAMUAGGGAUCGGGCGAUGUUUAAAUYUGACUCGCUCG
RNAcentral lists this ribosomal RNA (982 nucleotides) under Octospora phagospora. Its description in RNAcentral is "SSU rRNA". Lineage: Eukaryota; Fungi; Ascomycota; Pezizomycetes; Pezizales; Pyronemataceae. The record is from RNAcentral.